This is a long non-coding RNA of Stylophora pistillata, 428 nucleotides long. RefSeq lists it as uncharacterized. NCBI's taxonomy places the organism in Eukaryota, Metazoa, Cnidaria, Anthozoa, Scleractinia, Pocilloporidae. The record is from RefSeq and is a predicted model, not a curated record.
CAAAGACAGAAGAGAAGUGAACUUCGUCGUAUCACAAGUGUAAAAAAAAGUCGCUAACGUUUUACCAUGAAGAUGUUCCUCCUUUAUUCGCUGUUCGCCUGUUUAUUGCUAGAGGCCAACUCUGCCUCAAUCAAGAAGAAAGUGAAGAUUGCAAGCAUUCUACGCGAACCAGCAGAUUGCACGGAUGAAAAUCCCGUAUAUUGCGCACGGUGGAAUCCUUCGUACUGCACAAAUGUUAAGUUAUUUGCCACGCCCAGCAACUUUAAUGCCUUCCUGAAAAUGUGCCCCGCCUUUUGUGGAAGCUGUUAGGUGAAAAGCAGGACACAAAUGACGUGAUCAUGAGUGGAGAGUUGAAAUGAUCAAAAAAGAGUGAUAUGUAUGCUUCAGUAUUGUUGCUAGAGAGCUGUAAUAAAAAGAGAUGAUCAUCA